GAUGAACGCUAGCGGCAGGCUUAAUACAUGCAAGUCGAGGGGCAGCGGGGGUAGCAAUACCUGCCGGCGACCGGCAAACGGGUGCGGAACACGUACACAACUUUCCUUUAAGUGGGGAAUAGCCCGGGGAAACCCGGAUUAAUACCCCGUAACAUUAUGAAAUGGCAUCAUUUUAUAAUUAUAGCUCAGGCGCUUAAAGAUGGGUGUGCGGCUGAUUAGGUAGUUGGCGGGUAACGCCCACCAAGCCACGAUCAGUAACUGGUGUGAGAGCACGACCAGUCACACGGGCACUGAGACACGGGCCCGACUCCUACGGGAGGCAGCAGUAAGGAAUAUUGGCAAUGGACGCAAGUCUGAACCAGCCAUGCCGCGUGGAGGAUGAAGGUCCUCUGGAUUGUAAACUUCUUUAUCUGGGAAAGAAAUCCAUAUUUUCUAAUGUGGUUGACGGUACCAGAUGAAUAAGCACCGGCUAACUCCGU
RNAcentral lists this ribosomal RNA (479 nucleotides) under uncultured bacterium. RNAcentral's name for it is "bacterial SSU rRNA". It matches the Rfam family "Bacterial small subunit ribosomal RNA", at positions 28 to 506 of the family's 1533-position model. The record is from RNAcentral.